Molecule: ribosomal RNA, 496 nt
Filed under: uncultured bacterium
Lineage: Bacteria
Description: partial 16S ribosomal RNA
Rfam family: Bacterial small subunit ribosomal RNA
Source: RNAcentral
GAUGAACGCUGGCGGCGUGCCUAAUACAUGCAAGUCGAGCGAACAGACGAGGAGCUUGCUCCUCUGACGUUAGCGGCGGAAGGGUGAGUAACACGUGGAUAACCUACCUAUAAGACUGGGAUAACUUCGGGAAACCGGAGCUAAUACCGGAUAAUAUAUUGAACCGCAUGGUUCAAUAGUGAAAGACGGUUUUGCUGUCACUUAUAGAUGGAUCCGCGCCGCAUUAGCUAGUUGGUAAGGUAACGGCUUACCAAGGCAAGCUUGCGUAGCCGACCUGUGAGGGUGAUCCGCCCCGCGGGGGCGAAGCGCCGGCCCGGGCCCGUACGGAGGGCCAGGGUGCGAAGGGUGGCAGAAUGGGGGAAAGCUGGACGAAGGGCGGCAGCCUGAUUGAGGAAGGCCUCGGGCGGGAAAAACUCUGUUAUGUUGGAAAACCAAUUGUGAAGGUACGAAUCAUGUUGUGACGGUACCUGAAUAAGAAGCCCCGGCUAACUACGUG